ACUGAUGACGAAAAACCCCUAUAGAUAGUGAUCGCCCUGGCCCUAGCGCCUCGUCUCACUGACGAACACGAACGAAUAGUCCGAGGCGAGGCUGGCGCUGCCCUUGACCAGGUUUUUCGGCUGAACCUUCGUCGUGCCGCGUCCGGCGACCAGGGCCGUUCUGAGGGUCUUCGGCGUCGCGAUCGGCGCGCUCUGGUGACAGUCCAUGCAGGCGUUCUUGCUCUGCUGGUAGGUCUCCAAGGUGGUGUUGGCGACGAUGCCGGACUUGCUGGAGGGGGUGAUGUCACCAUUGGGCAGCGGCACGGUGCUGCCCGCCUUCACGACGGUCGGGCUGUUGGGCCACUGGACGUUGAUCAGCCGGUAGUAGUUGUAGACCGAGUUGGCCGGCAGCAGGCUCCAGACAUAGCCCGUCACCGCGUUCGCAGUCGCGUCUACCGGGACGAGUCGGGU
Molecule: small RNA, 450 nt
Filed under: Caulobacter vibrioides NA1000
Lineage: Bacteria; Pseudomonadati; Pseudomonadota; Alphaproteobacteria; Caulobacterales; Caulobacteraceae
Description: small non-coding RNA
Source: RNAcentral